This 413-nucleotide ribosomal RNA is filed under the name uncultured bacterium. RNAcentral describes it as "bacterial SSU rRNA". It matches the Rfam family "Bacterial small subunit ribosomal RNA", at positions 505 to 916 of the family's 1533-position model. The record is from RNAcentral.
GUGCCAGCAGCCGCGGUAAUACAGGGGGUGCUAGCGUUGUUCGGAAUUACUGGGCGUAAAGGGCGCGUAGGCGGUCUUGCAAGUCAGGAGUGAAAUCCCGGAGCUUAACUCCGGAAUUGCUUUUGAAACUGCAAGGCUAGAGUAUGUUAGAGGAAAUCGGAAUUCCUAGUGUAGAAGUGAAAUUCGUAGAUAUUAGGAAGAACACCGGUGGCGAAGGCGGAUUUCUGGGACAUAACUGACGCUGAGGCGUGAAAGCGUGGGGAUCAAACAGGAUUAGAUACCCUGGUAGUCCACGCCGUAAACGAUGGAUACUCGCUGUAGCUGGUAAUCAAUCCGGCUGUGGCUUAGCUAACGCAUUAAGUAUCCCGCCUGGGAAGUACGGUCGCAAGAUUAAAACUUAAAGGAAUUGACGG